CUUCCAUGAGUCAUGUAAAAGAAAAAAUAAAUAAAUAAAUAAAUGGAAAUCAGAAAUCAGUUUUAUGCUUUCCACUAUUCAUCAUCUUCAUCAACACUAACUUUUCAAGCCUUAAUUUCAUGAACCUAAAGAAUUGAAACGACAAUUGCCUUUCUUCUCAAACCAUUCGAAACCCUUGCCUCUCAUUCUUGUCUUCUUGGUUUUCAAUUUUUGAAGGAAAAAACCCAAACCCCAUCUUCAUCAUCUGAUUUCGAAGCAACAAACCCUAAUCAAUCUGAUUUUCACCCUUGAUUUUCGAAGAUCCCUUAUUCAGCAUCUGAUUUUAGAAUUAGGGAUAAAGCAACAACAGUUGAUUCUUGUAAACACAGCAACAAGCAACAUCCAUUCAUUGGUGACCAGCCUUGAGUCUUCCCUGUUCUUGUGAGUUUCGAAGGAAGCAAACCACAGAACCUUCUUCCCAAGUCUGAUUUCUGAGCGACAUUACCUUGGGUUUCAAUUGCCGCCUUUUUAUUGAGGAGGCGACAUCAUCGACGAAUCUUUCUAGUGAUCGCGGAGAACCAGACUUAGCUCCUUGAAGCAUCUUUGAUUGGAAUCGGUCAGGAACGAUGGUUAACGGUGAUGAUUAGAGUUACAGAGAUGUUAUAUUGAGCUGAGCAAGUGAGAAGUGUUCUAUUGUAUUAGGAGUUUUCUAAUUAAUGUAUAUUAGACUUGGUUGUGCUGGUUAAAUUGGAUUUAUAGAGUGACUUGUAUGAUUACUUUAUGAUUUAGAUAGAUGUUUGGAUUCAGAAUUAGCUGAUUUAGCUAUGUUUUAGAAUUAAAGACUCAUUUGCACAAGUUUUGAAAUUGCGACUUGAGUUUCUUGAGAAGUAAACUUCGUGAUGACCUUGUUUACUCAGUCAACGGUAAGUUGGGUUGUUACAAUAUUAGAGAAUCAUUUUUUUUCUAGUAUUUAUAAAAUAUUAACAAUUUUAUUUAUUAGAUAAGUAUUAUUUAAUUAGUGUAUUGGAUAUUUUGAUAUGGUUAAAAGAUAAUACUCCCUCCGAUCUUUUAUGUUUUUCCACUAUGGGGUUUUCACACAAAUUAAGAAAAAUUGAAUCUUUGGUUGAAGUGAAUAUUAUUUUAAUUAGAUUGUAGUGUGAAGUAAUGAUUAUAUUGGAAGUAUAAGUGAUAAAAUAAAUUUAAGCAAAAGUAAAACUAUAAAAAAAAUUGAUUUUAUUAAUCUAAUAAUGAGGAGAGGAAACCGUACAAGAAGGAAAAGUAACCAACUUUCCGAACUUUCCAAAUUGGGAAAGCUUGGAGGGUUAUGCUCAAAAAAGGAGGGAAAUUAAUCCAUUCUAAAAAUCAAUACAGCCAUACAUGAACAUUCCAAACUCCUUACAUUGGUCAAUUUACAACUACAUGGAUUAAGAACUUAA
This is a long non-coding RNA of Amaranthus tricolor (Joseph's coat), 1415 nucleotides long. RefSeq lists it as uncharacterized. The transcript is spliced from 4 exons. Lineage: Eukaryota; Viridiplantae; Streptophyta; Magnoliopsida; Caryophyllales; Amaranthaceae. The record is from RefSeq and is a predicted model, not a curated record.